AACGAACGCUGGCGGCAUGCCUAACACAUGCAGGUCGAACGAGACCUCCGGGUCUACUUGCUCACGGGUGCGUCACGCGUGGGAACCUUCCCUUAUGUUCCGAAUAACUCUCCUUAAGGGGUGCUAAUACCGGAUAAUUUCCUCUGACCCAAGAUUUAUCGUCUUUGGAUGGGCCCGCGUUGGUUUAGCCUGUUGCUAGGGUAAAAGCCUACGACGGCGACGAUCCUUAGCUGGGAAGAGAGGAUGGGCAGCCACACUGGGGCUGGGAACCGGCCGGGAAUCCUACGGGAGGCGGCAGUGGGGGAUAUUGGACAAUGGGCGGAGGCCUGAUCCAGCAAUGCCGGGUGAGUGAUGAAGUCCUUAGGGAUGUAAAGCUCGUUUACCCGGGAUGAUAAUGACGGUACCGGGAGAAUAAGCACCGGCUAACUCCGUG
Molecule: ribosomal RNA, 433 nt
Filed under: uncultured bacterium
Lineage: Bacteria
Description: partial 16S ribosomal RNA
Rfam family: Bacterial small subunit ribosomal RNA
Source: RNAcentral